UGGGUGAGUAACACGUGGGUAACCUGCCCAUAAGACUGGGAUAACUCCGGGAAACCGGGGCUAAUACCGGAUAACAUUUUGAACCGCAUGGUUCGAAAUUGAAAGGCGGCUUCGGCUGUCACUUAUGGAUGGACCCGCGUCGCAUUAGCUAGUUGGUGAGGUAACGGCUCACCAAGGCAACGAUGCGUAGCCGACCUGAGAGGGUGAUCGGCCACACUGGGACUGAGACACGGCCCAGACUCCUACGGGAGGCAGCAGUAGGGAAUCUUCCGCAAUGGACGAAAGUCUGACGGAGCAACGCCGCGUGAGUGAUGAAGGCUUUCGGGUCGUAAAACUCUGUUGUUAGGGAAGAACAAGUGCUAGUUGAAUAAGCUGGCACCUUGACGGUACCUAACCAGAAAGCCACGGCUAACUACGUGCCAGCAGCCGCGGUAAUACGUAGGUGGCAAGCGUUAUCCGGAAUUAUUGGGCGUAAAGCGCGCGC
RNAcentral lists this ribosomal RNA (484 nucleotides) under Bacillus sp. (in: firmicutes). RNAcentral describes it as "bacterial SSU rRNA". It matches the Rfam family "Bacterial small subunit ribosomal RNA", at positions 103 to 572 of the family's 1533-position model. The record is from RNAcentral. Lineage: Bacteria; Bacillati; Bacillota; Bacilli; Caryophanales; Bacillaceae.